UCAGUAUGUUAGUAACAGCCUUCGAGUCAAGAUGCAUAUUAUAUACAUUAUUUAUUUGCUCAUAUUAUGUGUUCAUUGCCGAGUGGCCAAGGUGGAAACUUAUCCGAUCGGUCAGUCUAUCGUCAGUGGAGUGCAAAAUAACAGUGUAAGAUCGAAACGCAGUUUUAUUAAUGAUGCGAAGUGUCCCGUGGGAUAUCGACGGAUUUUCAUACCGCACACAAGAAAUGCAUUCUGUUUGCAAAUAUCACCACGUGUGCAAUAGAAAAAGUACACUUCUUUUCAACUGUUGACCUAGAAGAGUCAAGAAGAGAGUCUUAUGCCCUCUAUGAGGUGCAGAAUAGCGUUUUCUGAAGGAUUCACUGCACUCUCUAUUUUUAGAGCUCCUAUUGAUCAGCGCUGUUAUAUAACUUUCCGGUAGCAUAAACGCCUUAGAGAUUAUAGUUUUUAUACUACUUACUUUUAAACCCAAUAUUUAUUUACAUACAUAUCUAUUUAGGGGCAACAUUGCCCCUUUUGAUAUUAAUUGAUAAAUUUAUUAAAAUUUCAUAUAAACUUCGCUUCGUAUUUUACUUGCACUGAUUCUUAUCUAUAUUGUAUGUACUUAAAGUUUAAAUGUUGUUAUCAUAAUAGCUAUUUACUUAUAUACUUUGAGGAACUAUUGUUUACGUAUAUUAUUGAUGUAGUUCCAAAUAAGACCACGGGUGGCGCUGUAUUUUCAUAGUAUUUGAUUGUAUGUAUUUUUGUACUAUGUCUAGCGCAGCAGUGUCAGUGAAAAUAAAUAGCUGUCAAAGCUAUUGUCAAUACAUCUUAAAGCAGUUUUGUCGCCAAAACGGGCACAAAUCUAUGUAUAAAAGAUAUUUGUUACUAUCACCUAAGCCUCACUAAUUCUCAAAAUCCAUUAACAAAACACUUAACUAUGUGUUUGUGCGAUGACGAUGACGAAAAAAGUAUGUAUUUAAUUACGGAUAGUCUCAUAUAAGUCUAUGUUAACUAAAGAAUAUCUAUAAUAUGGAUCAUAUAAUAUUUCAAUUUCUACACAUUAUUGUUUGUUUAAAUUCAUUUCCAUUGCUAUGUAGGUUUAAACCAAAGAUAUUUUUUAAUAAACGUUUUGAAAGACUAGUUAAAAUGUAACAGAAAUUUGUAAUCCGAAUUCUAGAAACAAUAUGUGUAGCUUCAAUAAUACUUUGUAUAUUUUAUUUCAUGUAUUUGUGAGUCAUAUGGAAGUGUAAGUUAAUAUAUUUACCAGUUAAUCAUGUACCAUCUGACAUAGUAGCUGACAGUAGCUAAUAUAAUAGGUUUCAAUUGUCAUUUGAAAUACAAAUAUAAAAGUAA
Pieris rapae (cabbage white) is the source of this 1332-nucleotide long non-coding RNA. RefSeq lists it as uncharacterized. The record is from RefSeq and is a predicted model, not a curated record. Lineage: Eukaryota; Metazoa; Arthropoda; Insecta; Lepidoptera; Pieridae. The transcript has 2 exons.